RNAcentral lists this long non-coding RNA (1557 nucleotides) under Brassica rapa (field mustard). RNAcentral's name for it is "long non-coding RNA (BRAP_LNC001160)". Lineage: Eukaryota; Viridiplantae; Streptophyta; Magnoliopsida; Brassicales; Brassicaceae. The record is from RNAcentral.
AAAGACAAGCCACCAUGUUUCGCUGAUAGUCAGAAAUUUUUCAGAAAUUUUCCAAACGCGUUCUUUCUGCUCAAAUCCACUAACCUAACCGAUAUCAUCACUUCUAAUCACAAUCCUGUAAAAAAGAGGAGGGAAAUUGAAAGAGAGAGGAGGGCAUGAUUAGUGGAUUACUCAGUGAGAUGGCUUCUAAACCAGCCUCUCUGCAUGGCACCUAAUAUGGCUCAAUGUAGAACGAGAACUGAUUAGCCACUCGAACAUUCAACAAGACUCGAUAAACAAUCAGCUACACUACACGUACAUACAAUCAAACACAUCACAUUUACACACUUCAAACAUCAUUUCCUCACUUCUGUUGCUGUCCCUCACUGAAAGCCUACUACCGGACACACAACGGCUACUGUCAUCCCUCAAGGCCGAUGCUUGUACGCUUAGCGGCACUCACCCUACCCCACGACAAUAACACACGCCUAACCAGCACACACACACACACACACACACGCCCAACCGGCCAAUCAAACAUCCCAACAGAAUUUACACUCCUUCCUCUUCAUCAUGCCACACUUCACGAACACUCACAUACAACACAUAGUCCCAUCCUAACAUACAAUCAUCUAUCCCAUUCAAGCUUCUAAUAACCUAAAUUCUUUCUACCCACUUAGCUUGCAAUCAAGUCAUAAACAAACAAUAACACAAACAGUUAUCUCACAUCUAUAAAAAUAGAACUCAAAGAACUGAAUAAAGAAAUCAAUAAAAGUAUAUUCGGAUCGCACACAAAUUAUUCUUGUCGCAGCAAUCUGAAGACCUUAGUGUUUCACCUUCAUGAUAUAACUUGUUAUUCUCCAUUCAGACCAUGAAUUUGGAUUUAACUUACUCAUCAAGAAGUUUGACUAAAGGUUUUUCUCUUACUUUAAAUGUCAUCAUAAUGUGAUAUUCAUACCGUUCGUUACUUUAGUCUUACUAAAAUCAUCAAUUUUGUUGGAGUCCUGAAGCAUAUUUUAUUAAACAAUUUAGAUUUUGGAGGUACAAAAAAGCAAAAAACAAAAAAAAAACAGAAAAAUCACUUACACCAACAUACAAAAAGAUUACAGUCUUAUGUCUUGAAGAUGACUCAUGCUGCCAUGUGUAGAAAUCCUUCAAGAGAAACAUAAUAUGGUUAAACUUAACAAAAAACCAAAGAAAAGAUGGAUCUUGAGUUUUAGAGACUAAAAUCCCGAGUUUUAGCAAGGCAAAACAAUGGAACUUAACUCUACCAAGGUAAAAAAAAAUUCUACUGAAAUACCCUUUUCGAGUGACCACACAUAUUUGGAUGGCUGCAUCUUGUUACCUGGAGACAUAACUAGAUAAAAUUAUGUAGUUUUUUUCGCAAAGUUUUCUUUGUGUGUGUAUAUAUAUAGAGAGGUAAUUUUAGGGUUGGAAGUUUUGAUUUUGCCAAUUCACAUUUAGACAUGAGUCAUGUCAUCAUUUUUUUUCGUGAGAGUCUUUGUAAAAAUGACAUAUAAGCAAAUUUUUAAAAAUUAUCUGGUAAAUAAUAACUAGGGGAUUACAUUUUUAACUUAC